This 412-nucleotide unclassified non-coding RNA is filed under the name Hevea brasiliensis (rubber tree). The record is from RNAcentral. Lineage: Eukaryota; Viridiplantae; Streptophyta; Magnoliopsida; Malpighiales; Euphorbiaceae.
GCAAGGUAAAACGCUUGUAUGAUGCUUUUCAUGAACCUUUCAAGCGAGAAGUGCCAAAACGCCAAUGCAUUCCAGAAACUUCAGUCGCUAAUGAAUCUCAUCCUGGCUCCAGCAACACAAAGGAAGAUGAGAAAGAAAUCGUGGAUACAAGCAACAGUGCGAAGAAAGAACCCGAAGUGACUGUCAAGUCAGCACUUUCGGCUGCUUUUGCUAAGUACUCGCACAAAAUUACAAGAAAGAAGAAUAAUAAAUCACGAGAAGAGGAAGAAGGGAAAUGCAGUACUAACGAAGAAGCUAAAACAGGAGACGUGAACGGCAGCAACAACUGCUGAAUCUUGGUCUCUUCCUUUCAGGCUAACAUUCCUAAUUUUAUAUUCUCCCCAUUUGUUUGAUUUCAUAGAAAUUAAUGGAA